This 633-nucleotide ribosomal RNA is filed under the name Limnia paludicola. RNAcentral describes it as "partial 12S ribosomal RNA". The stretch from base 415 to 486 matches the Rfam family "tRNA". The record is from RNAcentral. Lineage: Eukaryota; Metazoa; Arthropoda; Insecta; Diptera; Sciomyzidae.
CUGAGUAGUAUUAGUUAUGUUCUUUAAACUUAAAAAAUUUGGCGGUAUUUUAGUCUAUUCAGAGGAACCUGUUCUGUAAUCGAUAAUCCACGAUGGACCUUUCUUGUUUUUGUUUUUCAGUUUAUAUACCGUCGUUAUCAGAAAAUUUUAAAAGAAUAUCAAUUUUCUUGUUUUUCUACUAAAAAUUAUAUCAGAUCAAGGUGUAGCUUAUAAACAAGUUGAAAUGGGUUACAAUAAAAGUAUUUUAUGGAUAUAGAUAUGAAAUUUCUAUUGAAAGUGGAUUUGAUAGUAAAGUUAUAUAGAUUAAUAACUUGAUUUUAGCUCUAAAAUAUGCACACAUCGCCCGUCGCUCUUAUUACUAAGAUAAGAUAAGUCGUAACAUAGUAGAUGUACCGGAAGGUGUAUCUAGAAUGACAACUUAAAGCUUAAUUAGUAAAGUAUUUCAUUUACAUUGAAAUGAUUUUUGUGCAAAUCAUUAUAAGUUGAUUAAAUUUUAUUUAUAAGUUUAAUUAAUUUUCUUGUUAAGUUAUUAAAAAUAAUUAAAAGAUGAAAAUUUUUAGUAUAUUUUAUAGAAAAAAUAUUAUUAAUUAUAGAUUAUUAGUAUUGUAAAAGAACAUUGAAAUAAGUGAAAAA